RNAcentral lists this ribosomal RNA (379 nucleotides) under uncultured bacterium. Its description in RNAcentral is "bacterial SSU rRNA". It matches the Rfam family "Bacterial small subunit ribosomal RNA", at positions 29 to 410 of the family's 1533-position model. The record is from RNAcentral.
AUUGAACGCUGGCGGCAUGCCUUACACAUGCAAGUCGAACGGCAGCACGGGAGCAAUCCUGGUGGCGAGUGGCGAACGGGUGAGUAAUACAUCGGAACGUGCCCAGUAGUGGGGGAUAACCCGGCGAAAGCCGGACUAAUACCGCAUACGACCUACGGGUGAAAGCAGGGGAUCGCAAGACCUUGCGCUAUUGGAGCGGCCGAUGUCAGAUUAGCUUGUUGGGGGGUAAAAGCCUACCAAGGCAACGAUCUGUAGCUGGUCUGAGAGGACGACCAGCCACACUGGGACUGAGACACGGCCCAGACUCCUACGGGAGGCAGCAGUGGGGAAUUUUGGACAAUGGGCGCAAGCCUGAUCCAGCCAUGCCGCGUGCGGGAAG